Molecule: ribosomal RNA, 1343 nt
Filed under: uncultured bacterium
Lineage: Bacteria
Description: 16S ribosomal RNA
Rfam family: Bacterial small subunit ribosomal RNA
Source: RNAcentral
GACGAACGCUGGCGGCGUGCUUAACACAUGCAAGUCGAACGGAAAGGCCCUGCUUUUGUGGGGUGCUCGAGUGGCGAACGGGUGAGUAACACGUGAGUAACCUGCCCUUGACUUUGGGAUAACUUCAGGAAACUGGGGCUAAUACCGGAUAGGAGCUCCUGCUGCAUGGUGGGGGUUGGAAAGUUUCGGCGGUUGGGGAUGGACUCGCGGCUUAUCAGCUUGUUGGUGGGGUAGUGGCUUACCAAGGCUUUGACGGGUAGCCGGCCUGAGAGGGUGACCGGCCACAUUGGGACUGAGAUACGGCCCAGACUCCUACGGGAGGCAGCAGUGGGGAAUAUUGCACAAUGGGCGGAAGCCUGAUGCAGCAACGCCGCGUGCGGGAUGACGGCCUUCGGGUUGUAAACCGCUUUCGCCUGUGACGAAGCGUGAGUGACGGUAAUGGGUAAAGAAGCACCGGCUAACUACGUGCCAGCAGCCGCGGUGAUACGUAGGGUGCGAGCGUUGUCCGGAUUUAUUGGGCGUAAAGGGCUCGUAGGUGGUUGAUCGCGUCGGAAGUGUAAUCUUGGGGCUUAACCCUGAGCGUGCUUUCGAUACGGGUUGACUUGAGGAAGGUAGGGGAGAAUGGAAUUCCUGGUGGAGCGGUGGAAUGCGCAGAUAUCAGGAGGAACACCAGUGGCGAAGGCGGUUCUCUGGGCCUUUCCUGACGCUGAGGAGCGAAAGCGUGGGGAGCGAACAGGCUUAGAUACCCUGGUAGUCCACGCUGUAAACGGUGGGUACUAGGUGUGGGGUCCAUUCCACGGGUUCCGUGCCGUAGCUAACGCUUUAGGUACCCCGCCUGGGGAGUACGGCCGCAAGGCUAAAACUCAAAGGAAUUGACGGGGCCCCGCACAAGCGGCGGAGCAUGCGGAUUAAUUCGAUGCAACGCGUAGAACCUUACCUGGGUUUGACAUGGAUCGGGAGUGCUCAGAGAUGGGUGUGCCUCUUUUGGGGUCGGUUCACAGGUGGUGCAUGGCUGUCGUCAGCUCGUGUCGUGAGAUGUUGGGUUAAGUCCCGCAACGAGCGCAACCCUUGUUCACUGUCGCCAGCACGUUAUGGUGGGGACUCAGUGGAGACCGCCGGGGUCAACUCGGAGGAAGGUGGGGAUGACGUCAAGUCAUCAUGCCCCUUAUGUCCAGGGCUUCACGCAUGCUACAAUGGCUGGUACAGAGAGUGGCGAGCCUGUGAGGGUGAGCGAAUCUCGGAAAGCCGGUCUCAGUUCGGAUUGGGGUCUGCAACUCGACCUCAUGAAGUCGGAGUCGCUAGUAAUCGCAGAUCAGCAACGCUGCGGUGAAUACGUUCCCGGG